AUCUAAAAAAUACUAAAAAUAUAUUUUAAGUAUAUUUAUUCUAUUAUAGCUUAUAUCCCGAAAAAGCAAGAUAAUUUUAAAUGUUUGUUAGGGAUAAGUCUAACUUCUAUUUGCAACCUUAUUAAAAAAAUAAUAAUAUCUAAAACUUCUCUGAAAAAUCUAUAAAUUGUCGUAGAAUCAUUUUGUGAAUGUAUAAUUCUGACAUAAAAAUUCAUAAAAUUUUAUGAAACUUGAAGUAUAUAUAGUUCAUAAUGGAUACAUCUCUCACAUAGUAUCUUGUAAUUCAAGUCAAAACUUUGAGUUUGUGAAACUCGUUAUACUUUCGAACUCGUAUGCAUCUCAAAUUUGAACAAAACCUUAUUUUCACCAUAACAUUAGAAAAUAUGAGGUUACAUCACUAAUGGUUAUGCAAAAAUAUAUUUUUUGUUUUCUCUACUUGGAUGGAAGAAAACAAGCCAUAUGUACAAGUUCCAAGAAAUAGAAAUUAACAUAAAAACAAAUAGCACUAAAUGAAAGAUCAUGAUUUUAGAAGAAAGUAGAAAAAAGAACCAUCAAAUUUAAAGUUCAUAUGAGGGAGUAAUACCAGUUACAAAUUUUAAUUCCGGAUUAAAAAGUGAAAGAUAAAGCGUACAUCUGUUCUUCGGUGCUGGGUCAUAUACUCAUAUUAUGAUGAUAAAAAGUCUAAAAAAUUUAUUUCCAGAUCUCAUCACAAACCAGUAUUUGAUGCAGUGGUAGGCCGUGUCCACCUCUAGCAUGAGGUUUGCUGUUCCAUUCCCCAUGGUCAACUGGUUUUGUUAAAAAAUACAAAAAAUACACGUAUGAUUACAAAAAAAGCAAUAUCAAACUUUAUCCCAUGAGGGUGCGCAGCGCAGUGGUAAGUGACGCAGACGCUAGUCCUUAGAACUGGGUUCGAUUCCCAGCUCUCCGCAUCCCCAUUUUAACUUUGUUUUUGCUGAAUUUGCUUAGCUGCUGAGGACCUCGCAGGACUUUUUAGCUCGGAGCCCAUAAAUGACGCUGCGACGGCCCAUUUGAUGCACACGUGACCACAAUGUUUUUUCUCCUUUUUUCAUUUCAACAUCGUUCCUAUUUAUACUUUUCUACUUUCGUCUCCAUGUUACGUUUCUUUGAGUCAGUUUCAAUAUUCUAAUGCAAACAAAAUAUUUAGCAACUUAGAUUUAUAUGUGAACCAGAUAUCUGUUACUAAUAAAUAACACAAUGCAUGGUGCAGUUGUAGGGCAUUUUAUUGUUGAAACCCAAGACCAGGUUCAACACCCCCCCUGGUGCAUUUUUUUAUUUUUUUCAUAUGGGAACAUGAUAAUUUUUAAUUUAUGUUCGCGACGGGUUUGUAUAAACAUUGCAGUGUUUUGGGCCGGACCGUGACAGAAUUGAUAAUCCGUCGCGGUUUUCUGGGCUUAAUAUCCAUAAGAGCAAAUCCCUAACGUUUUCUAAAACUGUCGCCAUAGUUCCGUCACAGAAUAAAUAGUAUGUUGUAGUGGAAUUCAACCUCUGUAGCGUCGGAAGCAUCCUGCCUUCAAGUAUGAAGGUGUGAAAGAUCCUACUAGAUUUACUCCAGAGGCAAUGUCUCGUGUUGAGGUAAUCAGAAGGUGCUGCAAAGUACUCGACCACUUCGACAACUCUUUGGCGUUACCAGCACUCUUCUCGGCAGUCAAUCCACCCGAGAAUACCUGGAAGAAUUAUAAGACAUGGUACUGCAUGCCUCCGUCUUCAGAUGAUGCCGCCCAUUCUGGUGGCAAUAAAAAGCGUAAAGCAGCUCCUGGAUCUCUGUUGCAGAGGAAAGCAUACCGACCCAACAGUGGCCAGAUCCAAUAUCUUCCUGCGCACGAGAAAGAUCAAAUCCAAGACGUCCGUAACUGGGUGCAGAGCGACCCAGAGUCAACUAGUCGAUCAGCCCCCCGAGUCACCAAUAAUCGGGCUGAUCGAGAACUCUGAUGCUGCUGUUUUUCAAGAUGCAGGCACAUUGGGGACAUCAAAGGAUUCUGCUCCAGAAGCAAAGAAAUCUUCCCCAUCUGCUAAUACUGGUGGUGGUGUGGCUGGAGGAUCAGAAAAUCCUACUGUACAAGUAGUACCCUUCCAGUCUCUACCGCAGUCUGCUCAGGAGGAGUUGGGAAAAGAUCUCUUUGACGACCCACUGCUGUCUGUGGAAAAUGUGAAGAAGCUUGCAGACUGUAUGCAAUGGAGCUUCAAAUAUACCAAGGAUGUUGCCAAUCAGUCCUUCUUGAAGUCUCAAGCUCUGUAUUAGACCGUUGACAAUCAAAAACCUUGGCUAAGCAAAAUGUAGAAAUUGCCAAGCGUCUUGAUGAGGCUCUCGCUGCACGGAACAAGCUUUAUGAAGCUAACCGUGGACAUACGCGAUAGCUUUAUAAGAUGAAACAACAAAUCAAGAGCGUUGAAGAAGAGAAAACCAAGUUCCAAGAACAACUGCAAACUGCCCAAGCCUGUAAGUACUUGAAUCUUCACUUGAUAGUACUUUGCAUAUUCACUGAAAUAUCCUUGUAUCAGGUUCUUCAAGUGAUCAAGCUCUACUAGUAGCUGCAGCUCAAGUCAUUGUGGACAUGGUAGAUUCUGAAGGGGAAACGUCGAGUAGUAAAUGUCUGGUGGAGCGCUUAGAAGAAGCUCCCAAAAAGUUUUGACUUCAUGACGGCAACCUCCAAGAAUUAUCUUACACAUAUGCUUGGGAUUGUAAAGUCUUACUGGCCUCAGCAUAACUUAGCUCCCAUAGAUAAGGGAAUAGCCGCUGAUUGCUCUGAAGAAUCUUUUCAGGGCUAUUGUAAAGACACAUAGGCUAUUGCUGAGGAGAUCUUGAAGAACUUGUAGGAAUAUGGGGUAGCAAAAACAAAAAAUUUCUACCGCAUAA
Molecule: long non-coding RNA, 2875 nt
Organism: Panicum virgatum (switchgrass)
Lineage: Eukaryota; Viridiplantae; Streptophyta; Magnoliopsida; Poales; Poaceae
Exons: 4
Source: RefSeq, a predicted model, not a curated record